UUUUUAUUUUGAAUUAGUUUUUUCCUCCUGUGUGCGCACACAGUGAACCCAACUGAGACUGAACUCUCUAAUAACAAAAAGUCGUGUACAGAAACCCCCCAUCCCACCAUAUAUGGAACCUGUAUGUUAAUUAAUAAGACCUUAUGGAAUGUUGAUAAUGACAAUUACUGAAUAUUGAUAAACUUAAAGUGGUACUUCCUCGUGUCUGCAUUUCAAAUAAGAGCGGAGUGCACUUCACAAGUGUCUAGCUGGAAUUUCAAACCCCCCCCCCCCCCCCCCCCAAAAAAAAAAAAAAAUACGCUUGCCGAACCUAAUGACAGCUCUCCCGUUUCUACCGGGAGAUGAAACAAGACAAGCGCUUUGUUUUUAUGAGCAGCGUGUUUGUUUGUUUUUCUUGCUGUCUUUUCUUUGGUUCUCGCUUGCUUUCAGUAAGCUGUACCACCAGAAACAGGCUGUGGAGGGAGAAUCGUGGAAAGGAAUGACAGAAUGUAUGUUAGGAAACCCUUUAUCUUGGCUUCAUCGACGAGCGGUGACUUAAGUGCACUUUGUGAAGGCUCCUUGACUGUGAAGUGCUUAUUAUGAGGGUGAUGUUUUACUUAAAGGGGAACUUUGGAAUUUCUCAACCAUGGUGCAACAUUUGCAUGUUUUGGGGUUCAUCUUUUCACUUGGCACUAAACAGAUUUUAAUGGUUCCAGUAACAAUCUAGAAUCUGAACACCAUCACGGGCUAAAGAGCUAUACGAUAUAAGGCUAUGGGGCAAGCUUGAAGCACUCAAAGUCAGCUUCUUAUUUGUCAUUAAAAGUGUAUGAAGCACAAAGAAGCUCCCUACAGAGGUACAAAUAUGCAUGUUUAUCUCACCUAAAUGUAAAGAAACUUUUUAAUGACAAUUAUACAGUUAGCCACUUACAUUAGCCUCUUUCCCAUGUGGUAAGACCACUCUCCACUAAGUCAUUAAAAGUCAGUUGCUGAUAAAGGGUUCAUUCUUCUGCUUACAACAGGAACACAUGCCUCAUCAAGACUCAGCUUGUAAUAACUUAGUAUAUAAAGUGGAGCCAUCUGACAUGAAGGAGGCUAAGGUAAGUAGCUAACUGUGUAAUUGGUCAUUUUAACAGGUAUUUCCAUGGGGAUUUUUUUUAGGCUACCACACACUAAUCUAAUCCAAUGACAUUUUUGCCUAUUCAGCAGUGACAAGCAGCAAAUUUCUUCAAAUUUUUCAGCGUGUCCCAUAGGCUUAUAUUGUACAGCUGUUUAGUGUGUGACAGUUCAUCAACUUCAAAAU
Molecule: long non-coding RNA, 1279 nt
Organism: Thalassophryne amazonica
Lineage: Eukaryota; Metazoa; Chordata; Actinopteri; Batrachoidiformes; Batrachoididae
Exons: 3
Source: RefSeq, a predicted model, not a curated record